UGAGUAGAGAGAGAGGGGUUGAAAUCGCUGGAAUGAAGAGAAACGGGUUGCAGCUGUUCCUUGAUCCAAAAUAUUACAUCAGAGACCUGUAGAGAGAGCUAGGGAGGCUCAAUAUAAUGGCACACACAAGAGGAACACCAUGGAUGGGAAGGAAACGGGCCAAAUGGAGCAAAAACAGGGUUGUUUUGCUCCUGCAACCAGCAGCAAACUCCACCUAUUUUCUCUCCGAUCUCCCUCAUGAACCCAUGCAUGUGCGAGAUAUUUGGAUGGAUGGAAAGCUUAAAUGAUGGGGAUUGUUGUGGUCUAACAUGCAGGGAUUGAUCUUGGGCUAUUGGAUGGGAUUUGGGGAGGAGAAGUGAGAUAAGUGCUCAGCUUGGGAAAGAAGAGAAAGGGCAAGCAGUGAAAAUGAAAGAGGAGGAAGAAGAGGAGGUUUCCUCUGUCUCCCUUAAGUCCUGAGGUGGGGAGGACGUUCAUUGGUGUGG
RNAcentral lists this long non-coding RNA (482 nucleotides) under Oryza brachyantha (malo sina). RNAcentral describes it as "long non-coding RNA (OBRA_LNC001380)". The record is from RNAcentral. Lineage: Eukaryota; Viridiplantae; Streptophyta; Magnoliopsida; Poales; Poaceae.